RNAcentral lists this ribosomal RNA (486 nucleotides) under uncultured Glomus. RNAcentral describes it as "SSU rRNA". It matches the Rfam family "Eukaryotic small subunit ribosomal RNA", at positions 569 to 1061 of the family's 1831-position model. Lineage: Eukaryota; Fungi; Glomeromycota; Glomeromycetes; Glomerales; Glomeraceae. The record is from RNAcentral.
AGCAGCCGCGGUAAUUCCAGCUCCAAUAGCGUAUAUUAAAGUUGCUGCAGUUAAAAAGCUCGUAGUUGAAUUUCGGGACCAUCAUGUCGGUCGUGCCUCGGUACGUACUGGCAUUGUUGGUUUCUACCUUCUGACGAACCAUGAUGUCAUUUAUUUGGUGUCGUGGGAAAUCAGGACUGUUACUUUGAAAAAUUAGAGUGUUUAAAGCAGGCUCACGCUUGAAUACAUUAGCAUGGAAUAAUGAAAUAGGACGUUUGAUUCUAUUUUGUUGGUUUCUAGGAUCGACGUAAUGAUUAAUAGGGAUAGUUGGGGGCAUUAGUAUUCAAUUGUCAGAGGUGAAAUUCUUGGAUUUAUUGAAGACUAACUACUGCGAAAGCAUUUGCCAAGGAUGUUUUCAUUAAUCAAGAACGAAAGUUAGGGGAUCGAAGACGAUCAGAUACCGUCGUAGUCUUAACCAUAAACUAUGCCGACUAGGGAUCGGAUGAU